AUACGGAGGAUGCGAGCGUUAUCCGGAUUUAUUGGGUUUAAAGGGUGCGUAGGCGGGCUGGUAAGUCAGCGGUGAAACGCAGGUGCUCAACACCGGACCUGCCGUUGAAACUGCAGGUCUUGAAUGCGGAUGCUGUGGGAGGAAUGUGUGGUGUAGCGGUGAAAUGCAUAGAUAUCACACAGAACACCGAUUGCGAAGGCAUCUCACAAAUCCGUGAUUGACGCUGAGGCACGAAAGUGCGGGGAUCGAACAGGAUUAGAUACCCUGGUAGUCCGCACUGUAAACGAUGAUGACUCGCUGUCGGCGAUAGACAGUCGGUGGCCAAGCGAAAGCGAUAAGUCAUCCACCUGGGGAGUACGACCGCAAGGUUGAAACUCAAAUGAAUUGACGGGG
This 393-nucleotide ribosomal RNA is filed under the name uncultured bacterium. RNAcentral describes it as "partial 16S ribosomal RNA". It matches the Rfam family "Bacterial small subunit ribosomal RNA", at positions 523 to 918 of the family's 1533-position model. The record is from RNAcentral.